CCCUUCCUAGCUCAAUGGCUAGAGCACUCGGCUGUAGCCCGAGAGGUUGCCGGUUCAAAUCCGGCGGAGGGGA
Molecule: transfer RNA, 73 nt
Filed under: Candidatus Woesearchaeota archaeon
Lineage: Archaea; Nanobdellati; Candidatus Woesearchaeota
Description: tRNA-Tyr
Rfam family: tRNA
About the family: Transfer RNA (tRNA) molecules are approximately 80 nucleotides in length. Their secondary structure includes four short double-helical elements and three loops (D, anti-codon, and T loops). Further hydrogen bonds mediate the characteristic L-shaped molecular structure. tRNAs have two regions of fundamental functional importance: the anti-codon, which is responsible for specific mRNA codon recognition, and the 3' end, to which the tRNAs corresponding amino acid is attached (by aminoacyl-tRNA synthetases). tRNAs cope with the degeneracy of the genetic code in two manners: having more than one tRNA (with a specific anti-codon) for a particular amino acid; and 'wobble' base-pairing, i.e. permitting non-standard base-pairing at the 3rd anti-codon position.
Source: RNAcentral